This 440-nucleotide ribosomal RNA is filed under the name uncultured bacterium. Its description in RNAcentral is "partial 16S ribosomal RNA". It matches the Rfam family "Bacterial small subunit ribosomal RNA", at positions 338 to 795 of the family's 1533-position model. The record is from RNAcentral.
CCUACGGGAGGCAGCAGUAGGGAAUAUUGCGCAAUGGGCGAAAGCCUGACCCAGCAACGCCGCGUGAACGAGACGCCCUUCGGGGUUUUAAGCUCUGUCAGUGGGGACGAAAAAUGACGGUACCCACAGAGGAAGCACCGGCUAUCUCCGUGCCAGCAGCAGCGGUAAUACGGAGGGUGCAAGCGUGUUCCGGAAUCAUUGGGCGUAAAGAGUUCGUAGGAGGAAUGUAACGUCAGAUGGUAAAGGAGCAGGCUCAACCUGUGUAUGGCACUUGAUACUUGCAAGCUGGAAUGCGGUAGAGGUAAAGGGAAUUCCUGGUGUAGCGGUGAAAUGCGUAGAUAUCAGGAGGAACAUCGGUGGCGUAAGCGCUUUACUGGGCCGUAAUUGACGCUGAGGAACGAAAGCCAGGGUAGCAAAUAGGAUUAGAUACCCCAGUAGUC